Molecule: long non-coding RNA, 552 nt
Organism: Mauremys mutica (yellowpond turtle)
Lineage: Eukaryota; Metazoa; Chordata; Testudines; Geoemydidae
Exons: 3
Source: RefSeq, a predicted model, not a curated record
CUGGGCCAGAAACUCCCCUGGGGGUCGCUGCCCAAAUAGUGGAGACCCCCCCCGCCGGAGUCACUGCGGCAGCUGGGGGGCGGGACACCGGACAUUGCCCCAGGGGGCUGUCUGAGGUCAUUUCCCCUCCCCCAGAUACCUUAAUGGGCCCCAUCACCAUCAUACCUGGGAGCAGCCAUCUCCUGACCUGGCUUGUCAGCUCUGAAACCCUCUAAGUCCCUCUCACAAUGUACCAUCCUUUUUCUUGUUCAUCCCAAGUCAUGGAGCCAGUACCUGGAGCAUAAGGAGUAGCCCCUUUCACAAGGGCAACUCGGGGUCAAACAUGGAGUCUGGAGGAGAGUUGGUACACUAUGGCUCAGAGCAAGAGGACUUCAUCCGCUCUCAUGGCCUUCCAUCCUUUUGAGUUACCUGGAUUAUGCCAAGUGCAUCCCCAACAACCAUAUCUACAUUUUGUCUAUUUUAAUUAAAAUAACUUCAAUAAAAAUGUUAAAUAGCCAAUGAGAGUGUAGAAGGUAACUUGUGUAAGUAUGAUUUUAAACAUUAAGAAGGAAG